RNAcentral lists this ribosomal RNA (433 nucleotides) under uncultured bacterium. RNAcentral's name for it is "partial 16S ribosomal RNA". It matches the Rfam family "Bacterial small subunit ribosomal RNA", at positions 28 to 507 of the family's 1533-position model. The record is from RNAcentral.
GACGAACGCUGGCGGCGUGCCUAACACAUGCAAGUCGAACGAGCCCUUCGGGUCUAGUGGCGCACGGGUGCGUCACGCGUGGGAACCUUCCCUUAGGUUCGGAAUAACUCCCCGACAGGGGUGCUAAUACCGGAUAAUGUCUUCGUCCCAAAGAUUUAUCGCCUUUGGAUGGGCCCGCGUUGGAUUAGCUAGUUGGUAGGGUAAAAGCCUACCAAGGCGACGAUCCACAGCUGGUCUGAGAGGAUGAUCAGCCACACUGGGAGUGAGACACGGCCCAGACUCCUACGGGAGGCAGCAGAGGGGAAUAGUGGACAAUGGGGGAAAGCCUGAUCCAGCAAUGACGCGUGAGUGAUGAAGGCCUUAGGGUUGUAAAGCGCUUUUACCCGGGAUGAUAAUGACAGUACCGGGAGAAUAAGCUCCGGCUAACUCCGUG